GAUGAACGCUGGCGGCGUGCCUAAUACAUGCAAGUCGAGCGAACAGAUAAGGAGCUUGCUCCUUUGACGUUAGCGGAGGACGUGUGAGUAACACGUGUGUAACCUACCUAUAAGACUGGGAUAACUUCGGGAAACCGGAGAUAAUACCGGAUAACAUUUGGAACCGCAGGGUUCUAAGGUGAAAGUUGGUUGUGCUAUCACUUAUAGAUGGACCCGCGCCGUAUUAGCUGGUUGGUAAGGUAACGGCUUACCAAGGCGAGGAUACGUAGCCGACCGCAUAGGGUGGUCGCCCACACUGGAACGUAGACGCGCUCCAUGCGCCUACGGGAGGCAGCAGUAUGCAAUCUUCCGCAAUGGUCGAAAGCCUUGCGGAGCGAGGCCGCGUGUGUGGUGACGGGUCUCGGCUCGUAAUGCUGUGUUAUUAGUGAAGAACAACUUUGGAAGUAACUGUGCACGUCGUGACGGUACUUAAUCAGAAAGCCACGGCUAACUACGUG
This 497-nucleotide ribosomal RNA is filed under the name uncultured bacterium. RNAcentral describes it as "partial 16S ribosomal RNA". It matches the Rfam family "Bacterial small subunit ribosomal RNA", at positions 28 to 507 of the family's 1533-position model. The record is from RNAcentral.